GCACUUCAGUGUUGUUUUACCUCACUUUUGGUAUACAGUUCCAGCUUCGUCUCUUGAAGUGGUGAAAUUGUCAGCGCCUCGGGUCUACACAAGGCGGUAAGAAGCUUGACCAGAGUCACAGCAAACUGGACACUUCAUCCUGUAGAAUACCUGCUAACAUGGUACAUGUUACCACAGUUGGUAAGAACUACCCUUCCUGGUGCGUGAAUAGCAAUACCUACAGCAGGGAUCAAGCAAACUCUUACUGCUAGUCCUGGCAAAUGCUUCCAGUGUAAAUUUAAAAUAAGGAUGUUUUAAACAGCGUUAUAUGCAGAUGUGAGAUCCAGUUCAUGUGGACAAGCGGCACCGAACGAGGCGUGAGGACCUGGCGGUGAUCAGGGUAAACUGUCCUGCUCCAACUCUUCUCACACCAGAGGGCUCAGCAGACUACAGCCAGACAACUGGGAAGGCGAAGAAGACUGUCUCGGGAUGCAGAAGAACAUCUGUAACGACGGCAUAGUGACAUAUUGGCUGUCACCGUCUUGUCAUGAGACUAGCCAUUGAUAUUGGUUUUUGCCAGAAAAUGGGCUAAUUUAUAGUGAAGUUGUAUAGUAAAAUUUUAAACUAG
Procambarus clarkii (red swamp crayfish) is the source of this 607-nucleotide long non-coding RNA. RefSeq lists it as uncharacterized. Lineage: Eukaryota; Metazoa; Arthropoda; Malacostraca; Decapoda; Cambaridae. The record is from RefSeq and is a predicted model, not a curated record.